CCUACGGGUGGCAGCAGUGAGGAAUAUUGGUCAAUGGGCGGAAGCCUGAACCAGCCAAGUAGCGUGCAGGAUGACGGCCCUACGGGUUGUAAACUGCUUUUAUACGGGAAUAACGCGCCUUACGUGUAGGGCUUUGCAUGUACCGUAUGAAUAAGGACCGGCUACUUCCGUGCCCGCAGCCGCGGUAAUACGGAAGGUCCGGGCGUUAUCCGGAUUUAUUGGGUUUAAAUGGAGCGUAGGCCGCAUGUCAAGCGUGCUGUGAAAUGUCGGGGCUCAACCCGGGCCUUGCAGCGCGAACUGGCGUGCUUGAGUCCGCGGAAAGUAGGCGGAAUUCGUGGUGUAGCGGUGAAAUGCUUAGAUAUGACGAAGAACCCCGAUUGCGAAGGCAGCUUGCUGCAGCGGAACUGACGCUGAUGCUCGAAGGCGCGGGUAUCGAACAGGAGUAGAUACCCGAGUAGUC
RNAcentral lists this ribosomal RNA (460 nucleotides) under uncultured bacterium. RNAcentral describes it as "partial 16S ribosomal RNA". It matches the Rfam family "Bacterial small subunit ribosomal RNA", at positions 338 to 795 of the family's 1533-position model. The record is from RNAcentral.